RNAcentral lists this ribosomal RNA (98 nucleotides) under Pseudomonas koreensis. The record is from RNAcentral. Lineage: Bacteria; Pseudomonadati; Pseudomonadota; Gammaproteobacteria; Pseudomonadales; Pseudomonadaceae. RNAcentral also lists the same sequence under 7 other names.
UUGGAACCACCUGAUCCCAUCCCGAACUCAGCAGUGAAACGAUGCAUCGCCGAUGGUAGUGUGGGGUUUCCCCAUGUGAGAGUAGGUCAUCGUCAAGA